RNAcentral lists this ribosomal RNA (509 nucleotides) under uncultured bacterium. RNAcentral describes it as "partial 16S ribosomal RNA". The record is from RNAcentral.
GGAGUUAGCCGGUGCUUCUUCUGUGAGUGAUGUCCUUCCUGCCGGCUAUUAACCCGCAGGCCUUCUUCCUCACUGAAAGUGCUUUACAACCCGAAGGCCUUCUUCACACACGCGGCAUGGCUGGAUCAGGGUUGCCCCCAUUGUCCAAUAUUCCCCACUGCUGCCUCCCGUAGGAGUCUGGGCCGUGUCUCAGUCCCAGUGUGGCUGAUCAUCCUCUCAGACCAGCUACGGAUCGUCGCCUUGGUGAGCCGUUACCUCACCAACCAGCUAAUCCGACAUAGGCUCAUCCGAUAGCGCGAGGCCCGAAGGUCCCCCGCUUUCCCCCGUAGGGCGUAUGCGGUAUUAGCCUGGGUUUCCCCAGGUUAUCCCCCACUACCGGGCAGAUUCCUAUGCAUUACUCACCCGUCCGCCGCUCGCCACCAGGGAGCAAGCUCCCCGUGCUGCCGCUCGACUUGCAUGUGUUAGGCCUGCCGCCAGCGUUCAAUCUGAGCCAGAAUCAAACCUCUCGA